RNAcentral lists this ribosomal RNA (497 nucleotides) under uncultured bacterium. Its description in RNAcentral is "partial 16S ribosomal RNA". It matches the Rfam family "Bacterial small subunit ribosomal RNA", at positions 28 to 507 of the family's 1533-position model. The record is from RNAcentral.
GAUGAACGCUGGCGGCGUGCCUAAUACAUGCAAGUCGAGCGAACGGACGAGAAGCUUGCUUCUCUGAUGUUAGCGGCGGACGGGUGAGUAACACGUGGAUAACCUACCUAUAAGACUGGGAUAACUUCGGGAAACCGGAGCUAAUACCGGAUAAUAUUUUGAACCGCAUGGUUCAAAAGUGAAAGACGGUCUUGCUGUCACUUAUAGAUGGAUCCGCGCUGCAUUAGCUAGUUGGUAAGGUAACGGCUUACCAAGGCAACGAUGCAUAGCCGACCUGAGAGGGUGAUCGGCCACACUGGAACUGAGACACGGUCCAGGCUCCUACGGGAGGCAGCAGUAGGGAAUCUUCCACAAUGGGCGAAAGCCUGACGGAGCAACGCCGCGUGAGUGAUGAAGGUCUUCGGAUCGUAAAACUCUGUUAUUAGGGAAGAACAUAUGUGUAAGUAACUGUGCACAUCUUGACGGUACCUAAUCAGAAAGCCACGGCUAACUACGUG